This 506-nucleotide ribosomal RNA is filed under the name uncultured bacterium. RNAcentral describes it as "partial 16S ribosomal RNA". It matches the Rfam family "Bacterial small subunit ribosomal RNA", at positions 30 to 523 of the family's 1533-position model. The record is from RNAcentral.
AUUGAACGCUGGCGGCAGGCUUAACACAUGCAAGUCGAGCGGUAACAGAGAGAAGCUUGCUUCUCUGCUGACGAGCGGCGGACGGGUGAGUAAUGCCUAGGAAUCUGCCUAGUAGUGGGGGAUAACUUGCCGAAAGGUAAGCUAAUACCGCAUACGUCCUACGGGAGAAAGGAGGGGACCUUCGGGCCUUUCGCUAUUAGAUGAGCCUAGGUCGGAUUAGUUAGUUGGUGAGGUAAUGGCUCACCAAGACCGGGAUCCGGAACUGGGCUGAGAGGAUGAAUAGUUACAAUGGAACUUGGGACAGGGCCAGGACUCUAAGGGAAGGAAGAGUUGGGAAUAUUGGAACAUGGGGGGAACCCUGAUCCAGCCAUGCCGCGUGUGUGAAGAAGGUCUUAGGAUUGUAAAGCACUUUAAGUUGGGAGGAAGAGCAGUUAACUAAUAUUUGACUGUUUUGACGUUACCGACAGAAUAAGCACCGGCUAACUUCGUGCCAGCCGCCGCCAUAA